UUAGUUGUAGCUAGCAAUCUUUGAAUUAAUUGAAACCAAGACUAUGUCAAAGAUGGCUUCUUCCAAGUCAACCAUUCUCUUUGAUUUUAGUCACCUUCAGCUACCAAUUAGCUAUGAAGGUUUCAUUAUUUCGGGUCAAAUGGUACUUUACCAUUUCCUUAAGUAUAUGUCAUAUAUACACUCAAUGUAGUCAUAAGGAUUCUUAUUUCUUUCAAAUUAAGAGGUGUAACUCUAUGACAUAGUCAUAAAGUUCAAACCAUUCAACUGAGACAACUUAUAAAUCCUUCUCGACUACCUUGGAGCUUGUGGUGUAGGAACUAGGUUGUUAUAUUUGUUGAUUAUCAUCUUGUCUCUAAAAGAACCCAUUCUUUGAGUUCUAUCUCUUGUUCAUUUGCGCUUAGGCAAAUCAUAUUGUAGGAUUACAAUGAACUACCCAACAAAACAACAUUUGUUAGUUGGUUUAUAGAAGUGAUAUCCAAAGGUUAAUUUAAGGAUAUCCACAAGAUAAUUCUCAAACAAAUAUUGCUUAUUAGCACAUAACCUCAAAUCUUAACACGAUUAAGACUUAUCUUUCUUUCCAACUACAUCCUAUGGAGUCAUGAAAAUUUUGGAAGAUCUUCUAAUUUUCAAUCAUAUUGUCUUAGAAGUAUAUAUCCUAUAUAUGGGUAAUUGAUAACAUCCAACAAACUAAAUCUUAUUCAAGUUCGUUCUUCACCUAAUCGAGAAAUCCAUUAUCUUAUGAUGCUUCUUUCCUUGAUAUCUUUCAAGGAAACUGUUGUAAAGUGUUACCUUUCCUUGGAUCAAAUCUAAGGAGGUAAAUACUUUAGACGUCUUACUCAUCAACUUACAUUCUUGAAUUCUUUGAAACCUUUUGCAAAGUAUUCGGACUUGUGUUUAUUCAAAAUAAAUGAUAGUCUAACCGAGAGCGAUCUUCGGUGAAUGUCAUACAACAUGAGUAGUAUUAUGUUGUGGACAAGUGCCACUAACAUCUAAGUGAAUUAACCUCAACAACUUUGUGAUUCUUUCUUCCUUUCCAAAAGAAUAAAGAUUCAAACAUUUUGCCUCUAUACAAUUUUAACAAAAAGGCAUUGGAUCCGGAUCUAACGAUCCAAAGCAUCCAUCUAUGACCAACUCG
RNAcentral lists this long non-coding RNA (1135 nucleotides) under Malus domestica (apple). RNAcentral's name for it is "long non-coding RNA (MDOM_LNC000170)". Lineage: Eukaryota; Viridiplantae; Streptophyta; Magnoliopsida; Rosales; Rosaceae. The record is from RNAcentral.